Molecule: long non-coding RNA, 342 nt
Organism: Drosophila willistoni
Lineage: Eukaryota; Metazoa; Arthropoda; Insecta; Diptera; Drosophilidae
Exons: 2
Source: RefSeq, a predicted model, not a curated record
UCGACGCGUUCACAACGCCAGCGAAAGAGAGAAUCGCGUGUUGCCGUUGCCGUUGCCGUCGCUGCCAAAUGGCUUGAGAAACUGUAAACUUGACUUUGAAUCUCGAUCUGUUGGCCCAUUCAUUCCUCCGACUGAUUCGACCAACCCCGCCGCCGACCACUUGUCGUCCGUCUCUCCCACACUCACUCACUCACUCAGCCAAGCUGGUGUUGGGGCUCCGUUGUGACCGUGAACAGCAGCAACAACAACGUCGACAACAACAAAAGUGAAAUUGUCUUAAAUAAUAUUUAUGUAUGUUAAUUUUCGUUGCCAAAUUGAUAACCGUUAACAGCAGCAGCAGCA